RNAcentral lists this long non-coding RNA (279 nucleotides) under Theobroma cacao (cacao). RNAcentral describes it as "long non-coding RNA (TCAC_LNC006484)". The record is from RNAcentral. Lineage: Eukaryota; Viridiplantae; Streptophyta; Magnoliopsida; Malvales; Malvaceae.
ACAGCAUUAGAAUACAUUUCAUUUAAAAUACGUGAAAAGGCUUAUGAAUUUCAUAAAAACUAGGCUUGUGCCAUAAAUCCAUUCUCAGGGACACCUUGGCCGAGGCAUCCUACCGAGACCGCCAAGGCUAUUAAAAUUCACAUUUCAUAUAAAUCAUGUUUUUGUUUUGAAAACAUAGUCGUUCCUUGGCGUUGGCUGAGUUCCCCCUCACGUGGUGGUUUGGCGUGAAGUGAACCCUAAGUUUUACCCCAGGAGAUACCCUACGCGCCUCUCCGUUCG